GUCGUCAGUUGCUAGCGGUACGAGUAACAUCGUGAGUGAGAGAGGUUUUGUGAAGAAAAGUUUUUUUAGACUAAAUUUCAAUGUUUGCCAAAGCUAAACAUACACUCUUCAUUUGCAUAGGGAAGUUGGUUAAGUUCGACUUGGAAAAUUAAUUAGUUUUUUUUUAUUUGAAAAAAAAUAUAAUUAUGAAAAAACAAAAGUUAUUCUAGUGAAUCGGGUCAUCGGCAGACAGUUCUUCAAACAAAAUGGUCCUUCCGGACAGGAAGUUGAAACGUUUCGGAGGAAAAGAAGUCGUGAAACAGUCGCUUGCUUUGCCCUUCCUAACCUAACUGUUGCUUCUUUCUGUGUUUGAGAGUUUCAAUCUGCUCUAGCCAUCCCGUGAAAGAGCAGUGCUUAUUUCCGGACAAACGCGCGCGUGAAAUAUCCUGGCACUUUAACGAAGUCGUUCUUUUUUUUUUGGUUCGGUUCUGUCGCGCGCGCCGCACCCAGCUUUUUGAUCUUGGCUGGCAAACACACAGCAACGAAAUCGAAAAAAAACUCACAGUGCAAGGAAAAGCCCGAACCCUGUCAGACGCACCACCACCACCCCGCAGGAGAAGCGGGAAGAAUCCGGAAGAGAGCGGUGGAAAUGUUGGAAAAAUCUGGUGGAAAAUAUGAACUUUCCACUUCACUGCUCAACGACUUGUAAACACACUCACAAGGUAUUACAUUUCGGAGUAAUCUUUGAUGUCAUCUCAUGUUUUCAUUGCGCAAAGCAAAGGAAAUCGAACUGCGGCGUGUAAG
Culex quinquefasciatus (southern house mosquito) is the source of this 783-nucleotide long non-coding RNA. RefSeq lists it as uncharacterized. The record is from RefSeq and is a predicted model, not a curated record. The transcript has 4 exons. Lineage: Eukaryota; Metazoa; Arthropoda; Insecta; Diptera; Culicidae.